CAAAACUUUCAACAACGGAUCUCUUGGUUCUGGCAUCGAUGAAGAACGCAGCGAAAUGCGAUAAGUAAUGUGAAUUGCAGAAUUCAGUGAAUCAUCGAAUCUUUGAACGCACAUUGCGCCCUCUGGUAUUCCGGGGGGGCAUGCCUGUUCGAGCGUCAUUA
RNAcentral lists this ribosomal RNA (161 nucleotides) under Caloplaca badioreagens. Its description in RNAcentral is "5.8S ribosomal RNA". It matches the Rfam family "5.8S ribosomal RNA". Rfam says of the family: 5.8S ribosomal RNA (5.8S rRNA) is a component of the large subunit of the eukaryotic ribosome. It is transcribed by RNA polymerase I as part of the 45S precursor that also contains 18S and 28S rRNA. Lineage: Eukaryota; Fungi; Ascomycota; Lecanoromycetes; Teloschistales; Teloschistaceae. The record is from RNAcentral.